Molecule: ribosomal RNA, 494 nt
Filed under: uncultured bacterium
Lineage: Bacteria
Description: bacterial SSU rRNA
Rfam family: Bacterial small subunit ribosomal RNA
Source: RNAcentral
GAUAAACGCUGGCGGCGUGCAUAACACACGCAAGUCAAACGGGCGAGAAAGAGGUGCUUGCACCACUUUUGAGCAAGUGGCGGACGGGUGAGUAACGCGUGGAGAACCAACCUGGUGGAGGGGGACAACUUAGAGAAAUCUGAGCUAAUACCGCCUAAGCCUGUAUUGAGGCAUCUUGGUACAGGGAAAGGAGCAAUCCGCCACGAGACGGUUCCGCGUCUGAUUAGCUAGUUGGUAGGGUAAAGGCCUACCAAGGCGACGAUCAGUAGCCGAUCUGAGAGGAUGGACGGCCACAUUGGGACUGAGACACGGCCCAAACUCCUACGGGAGGCAGCAGUGGGGAAUAUUGCGCAAUGGGGGAAACCCUGACGCAGCAACGCCGCGUGAUUGAAGAAGGCCUUCGGGUUGUAAAGAUCUUUAAUCAGGGACGAAGGAAGUGACGGUACCUGAAGAAUAAGCUCCGGCUAACUACGUGCCAGCAGCUGCAGUAACAC